GACGUAGGGCGCGAGCGUUGUCCGGAUUUAUUGGGCGUAAAGAGCUCGUAGGCGGCUUGUCGCGUCGACUGUGAAAUCCCGCGGCUCAACUGCGGGUCUGCAGUCGAUACGGGCAGGCUAGAGUUCGGUAGGGGAGACUGGAAUUCCUGGUGUAGCGGUGAAAUGCGCAGAUAUCAGGAGGAACACCAAUAGCGAAGGCAGCUCGCUGGGACGUUACUGACACUGAGGCGCGAAAGCGUGGGGAGCGAACAGG
This 253-nucleotide ribosomal RNA is filed under the name uncultured bacterium. Its description in RNAcentral is "partial 16S ribosomal RNA". It matches the Rfam family "Bacterial small subunit ribosomal RNA", at positions 524 to 776 of the family's 1533-position model. The record is from RNAcentral.